ACAGAGGUGGCGAGCGUUGUUCGGAAUUACUGGGCUUAAAGGGCGAGUAGGCGGUGGAACAAGUCUGAGGUGGAAUCUUAGGGCUUAACCCUAAAACUGCCUUAGAAACUGUUUUACUUGAGUCAGUGAGGGGAGGGCGGAAUUCCUGGUGUAGCGGUGAAAUGCGUAGAUAUCAGGAGGAAGGCCUGUGGCGAAGGCGGCCCUCUGGCACUGUACUGACGCUGAGGCGCGAAAGCGUGGGGAGCAAACAGGAUUAGAUACCCUGGUAGUCCACGCCCUAAACGGUGGGCAUUAGGUGUAGGGCUCGUAAGGGUUCUGUGCCGAAGGGAAACCAUUAAAUGCCCCGCCUGGGGAGUACGGCCGCAAGGUUG
RNAcentral lists this ribosomal RNA (371 nucleotides) under uncultured bacterium. Its description in RNAcentral is "bacterial SSU rRNA". It matches the Rfam family "Bacterial small subunit ribosomal RNA", at positions 525 to 896 of the family's 1533-position model. The record is from RNAcentral.